CCCAGACUCCUACGGGAGGCAGCAGUGGGGAAUAUUGCACAAUGGGGGGAACCCUGAUGCAGCAAUGCCGCGUGGGUGAAGAAGCACUCCGGUGCGUAAAGCCCUGUCAGCAGGGAAGAAAAUGACAGUACCUGACCAAGAAGCCCCGGCUAACUACGUGCCAGCAGCCGCGGUAAUACGUAGGGGGCAAGCGUUAUCCGGAUUUAUUGGGUUUAAAGGGUGCGCGGGCGGUCGGUUAAGUCAGCGGUCAACGCCGGGGGCCCCCCCCCGGCCCGCCGUUGAAACUGGCAGUCUCGAGUUGGAGAGAAGUAUGCGGAAUGCGCGGUGUAGCGGUGAAAUGCAUAGAUAUCGCGCAGAACUCCGAUUGCGAAGGCAGCAUGCCGGCUCCACACUGACGCUGAGGCACGAAAGCGUGGGUAUCGAACAGGAUUAGAUACCCUGGUACU
This 446-nucleotide ribosomal RNA is filed under the name uncultured bacterium. RNAcentral describes it as "partial 16S ribosomal RNA". It matches the Rfam family "Bacterial small subunit ribosomal RNA", at positions 330 to 794 of the family's 1533-position model. The record is from RNAcentral.